RNAcentral lists this microRNA precursor (75 nucleotides) under Otolemur garnettii (small-eared galago). RNAcentral describes it as "miRNA (ENSOGAG00000034617.1)". Lineage: Eukaryota; Metazoa; Chordata; Mammalia; Primates; Galagidae. The record is from RNAcentral.
ACGUGUGCAUAUGUAGUAUAUGUGUGUCUGUGUGUAUAUAUGAGUGUGUGUAUACAUACACACAGACACACAUAC